RNAcentral lists this long non-coding RNA (1151 nucleotides) under Homo sapiens (human). Its description in RNAcentral is "HSALNT0131914". Lineage: Eukaryota; Metazoa; Chordata; Mammalia; Primates; Hominidae. The record is from RNAcentral.
CACAGGACAUCACAGGACAUACGCACUGCUCAGGAAAUCAUCUGACCUGGCCCUGCAGAGCACGGGACCCAGGAAGAUUGUGUUAGAGGACCAGAGCCCGUGUGGAGCACAGGGAGGGAAACAAAGCUUGUCAGUGUCACCAACAAAAACUCAACUUCUGACAUUAAUCCUGAGUAGUUACCCAUGCCCAGACCGAUGCAGAGAUCCGACCCAACAAAACAACGUCGCAGCGUGAGCAGCCGAGAAGUGACGACACCACGGGGCGGAGGGGAACGGAGAGGAAAGCUGCUGACGCCAGGGAGAGAUGCCGCUGGGCCAGGCACGGCUGCCCGCAGGAGAGGCCUCCGCAGGGAGAGGUACCGCUGGAUCAGGCGAGCUAUUAAGGAGCCAUUUCAAGUAUUUACAGGGAAGCCUCUGGACUGGGUGAUAUCAUGUGACCAAUGGCACACAAUUCAGUGCCCAGAAUGAACAGGACACAAGAACCCUCUGUGUGUGAGUGUGGACACUUUCCUGGGGAAUGAUUUAUGGUGUCUCAUGUGAGACAGAAGCACAUCUACAUUCUAGAAGACGCAUGGCCUCGGUGGCAGGAUGCACAAAGUGUGUGCAUGAGGAGAAUAUUAGAAGCACAGAAAUUGAUUAGGAGGAUGUGGUCAAAAAGAGGGACGGAGGAACAAACCUAAGAGAAGGAGAUGCAAGUGCAGUGGAGGGAGAAGGGGCGGGGCCAAGAACACAGGUGAACACAAACACCACGGAUGCAAAGAAAACUUCCCCUCACCCCUCUCAAAGGAAAGACCAGUUCUGAUGAAUUUGGAAGCAGCAGGACAAGAAGGCCAGGACAGAAUUUCCUGAAGACCUCUACAUUUCUUACACAAAACAAGGGCACCCACUGGUUGCUGAGAUCAAAUGAGUAAAGAAGGAGGCUGCAGACUCGAGGGAUAUGGUUAAGAUAUAAAAUUCCAUUAGGGAGGAGAGACACGGAAGGAGAAUGGAGAAGUGCUUGACAAUGACAUGGAGAAGACAGUCCAGGAAACUAAUGAAGACAACGGGGAGAUGGAGGAAGGAACCAGAGAUGUUCAAAGACUAGAUCGUGGGUCAGAUGGUAAUGACUCUAACCUAAGGCAGGGAUGAUGGCAGAAAGAUGCCUUCACAGG